This 472-nucleotide ribosomal RNA is filed under the name uncultured bacterium. RNAcentral describes it as "partial 16S ribosomal RNA". It matches the Rfam family "Bacterial small subunit ribosomal RNA", at positions 28 to 507 of the family's 1533-position model. The record is from RNAcentral.
GACGAACGCUGGCGGCGUGCUUAACACAUGCAAGUCGAACGAUGAACCCGGAGCUUGCUCUGGGGGAUUAGUGGCGAACGGGUGAGUAACACGUGAGUAACCUGCCCUGGACUCUGGGAUAAGCGUUGGAAACGACGUCUAAUACCGGAUAGGACCUUGGGUCGCAUGAUCUGGGGUGGAAAGUUUUUUCGGUCUGGGAUGGACUCGCGGCCUAUCAGCUUGUUGGUGAGGUAAUGGUUCACCAAGGCGUCGACGGGUAGCCGGCCUGAGAGGGUGACCGGCCACACUGGGACUGAGACACGGCCCAGACUCCUACGGGAGGCAGCAGUGGGGAAUAUUGCACAAUGGGCGAAAGCCUGAUGCAGCAACGCCGCGUGCGGGAUGACGGCCUUCGGGUUGUAAACCGCUUUUAGUAGGGAAGAAGGGCUUCGGCUUGACGGUACCUGCAGAAAAAGGACCGGCUAACUACGUG